Molecule: long non-coding RNA, 771 nt
Organism: Magnolia sinica
Lineage: Eukaryota; Viridiplantae; Streptophyta; Magnoliopsida; Magnoliales; Magnoliaceae
Exons: 3
Source: RefSeq, a predicted model, not a curated record
UCUCCCUCUUCUCCCAUCAAUCUCUCUUCCUCUCGAUCAGACUGCUAGCUACGCUCAAUUGUAGCAACCCGGUAACCCAUCUUCGCUAACAAGGGGUUUGAAUCCAUUGAGUGCAUUGACGAACGGGGUUAAGAUAAGGGAUGUUUCAAAGUGGGAAGAAGAUGCAGAUGAGUACAUCAGGAAAAAUCUUCUAUCUGAUCUUGUAUGCGAGUUUGCUUUUUAUUGAAUGUGCCCUUUUAAAUCACCUUUGUUUUGCAUUUAACUUCCUUUUAUUUCACUACUUUUGAUCUUAUUAGAGGUCAUUUCUCCUUACAGGAAGAAGCUUCCGGAUGGAACGAAGAUCCCUUUACUGCAAGGAAAGGUGUGAUAAGUUUACUUGGCGUUAUUUCAAUGUCAAAGGUCAGUCUUCCUUAGAAAUCAUAGUUAACAAAAUAAUCUUCACUAUAUAAUGAAUUUUUAGUUUCAUUUCUGGUUUGCAGGGGCCUCCAAUUUCUAUAGGUUCGGUGAAACGCAAAAAAGGUGAUAAAAAUAAUGGAAAAGAACAACGCAUCUUUGUGAUGGAGUUGUUAGUGAUAUCAUUUUUAUCCAAGUUUCCCAUUCCCUUGGAUGUUGUUCUGAACCCAUCUAGGACUUCAAAUGAAUUUGCUUGUGUCGGUGAUGUUGUUUUGGCUCCUCAUGAUAUGAUGAGCGAUGUCUUUCUAGAAAUGGGGAAGAUGUCAAAGUAUGGUGGCUGUGAAGGUUUUGCUAGCUUUUCAUUUAUACUUUGGGAGG